GAUAAACGCUGGCGGCGCACAUAAGACAUGCAAGUCGAACGGACUUAACCGUUAGUUUACUAAUGGAGCGGUUAGUGGCGGACUGGUGAGUAACGCGUAAGCAAUCUGCCUGUUAGAGGGGGAUAACAGUGAGAAAUCACUGCUAAUACCGCAUAUGCUGUGAACAUCACAUGAUGUAAACAGGAAAGGAGCAAUCCGCUAAUAGAUGAGCUUGCGUCUGAUUAGUUAGUUGGUGAGGUAACGGCCCACCAAGACGAUGAUCAGUAGCCGACCUGAGAGGGUGACCGGCCACAUUGGGACUGAGACACGGCCCAGACUCCUACGGGAGGCAGCAGUGGGGAAUAUUGCACAAUGGAGGAAACUCUGAUGCAGCGACGCCGCGUGAGCGAAGAAGUAUUUCGGUAUGUAAAGCUCUAUCAGCAGGGAAGAUAAUGACGGUACCUGACUAAGAAGCUCCGGCUAAAUACGUGCCAGCCGCCGCCGUAAG
This 487-nucleotide ribosomal RNA is filed under the name uncultured bacterium. RNAcentral's name for it is "bacterial SSU rRNA". It matches the Rfam family "Bacterial small subunit ribosomal RNA", at positions 28 to 524 of the family's 1533-position model. The record is from RNAcentral.